Molecule: ribosomal RNA, 253 nt
Filed under: uncultured bacterium
Lineage: Bacteria
Description: partial 16S ribosomal RNA
Rfam family: Bacterial small subunit ribosomal RNA
Source: RNAcentral
UACGUAGGGUGCAAGCGUUAAUCGGAAUUACUGGGCGUAAAGCGUGCGCAGGCGGUGAUGUAAGACAGUUGUGAAAUCCCCGGGCUCAACCUGGGAACUGCAUCUGUGACUGCAUCGCUGGAGUGCGGCAGAGGGGGAUGGAAUUCCACGUGUAGCAGUGAAAUGCGUAGAGAUGUGGAGGAACACCGAUGGCGAAGGCAGCCCCCUGGGCUGAGAUUGACGCUCAGGCACGAAAGCGUGGGGAGCAAACAGG